This 1331-nucleotide ribosomal RNA is filed under the name Xenoglena sp. G0309. RNAcentral describes it as "SSU rRNA". It matches the Rfam family "Eukaryotic small subunit ribosomal RNA", at positions 32 to 1305 of the family's 1831-position model. The record is from RNAcentral. Lineage: Eukaryota; Metazoa; Arthropoda; Insecta; Coleoptera; Trogossitidae.
UUGUCUCAAAGAUUAAGCCAUGCAUGUCUCAGUACAAGCCACAUUAAGGUGAAACCGCGAAAGGCUCAUUAAAUCAGUUAUGGUUCCUUAGAUCGUACCCACAUUUACUUGGAUAACUGUGGUAAUUCUAGAGCUAAUACAUGCAAACAGAGCUCCGACCGUUUACGGGAGGAGCGCUUUUAUUAGAUCAAAACCAAUCGGUGGUGGUUUCGGCUGCCAUCGUACACCUUGGUGACUCUGAAUAACUUUAAGCUGAUCGCACGGUCUCGCACCGGCGACGCAUCUUUCAAAUGUCUGCCUUAUCAACUGUCGAUGGUAGGUUCUGCGCCUACCAUGGUCGUAACGGGUAACGGGGAAUCAGGGUUCGAUUCCGGAGAGGGAGCCUGAGAAACGGCUACCACAUCCAAGGAAGGCAGCAGGCGCGCAAAUUACCCACUCCCGGCACGGGGAGGUAGUGACGAAAAAUAACGAUACGGGACUCAUCCGAGGCCUCGUAAUCGGAAUGAGUACACUCUAAACCCUUUAACGAGGAUCAAUUGGAGGGCAAGUCUGGUGCCAGCAGCCGCGGUAAUUCCAGCUCCAAUAGCGUAUAUUAAAGUUGUUGCGGUUAAAAAGCUCGUAGUCGAAUUUGUGUCCCGCGCCGCCGGUUCAUCGUCCGCGGUGUUAACUGGCGUGUCGCGAGACGUCCUGCCGGUGGGCUUAGCCCGCGAGGGCGGCCCAACUCAAUCCCGCCGCGGUGCUCUUCACUGAGUGUCGAGGUGGGCCGGCACGUUUACUUUGAACAAAUUAGAGUGCUUAAAGCAGGCUAGAAUUUCGCCUGAAUACUGUGUGCAUGGAAUAAUGGAAUAGGACCUCGGUUCUAUUUUGUUGGUUUUCGGAACCCCGAGGUAAUGAUUAAUAGGAACGGAUGGGGGCAUUCGUAUUGCGACGUUAGAGGUGAAAUUCUUGGACCGUCGCAAGACGAACAGAAGCGAAAGCAUUUGCCAAAAACGCUUUCAUUGAUCAAGAACGAAAGUUAGAGGUUCGAAGGCGAUCAGAUACCGCCCUAGUUCUAACCAUAAACGAUGCCAGCUAGCGAUCCGCCGACGUUCCUCCGAUGACUCGGCGGGCAGCUUCCGGGAAACCAAAGCUUUUGGGUUCCGGGGGAAGUAUGGUUGCAAAGCUGAAACUUAAAGGAAUUGACGGAAGGGCACCACCAGGAGUGGAGCCUGCGGCUUAAUUUGACUCAACACGGGAAACCUCACCAGGCCCGGACACCGGAAGGAUUGACAGAUUGAGAGCUCUUUCUUGAUUCGGUGGGUGGUGGUGCAUGGCCGUUCUUAGUUGGUGGA